This 105-nucleotide small nuclear RNA is filed under the name Myotis brandtii (Brandt's bat). Lineage: Eukaryota; Metazoa; Chordata; Mammalia; Chiroptera; Vespertilionidae. The record is from RNAcentral.
GUGCUCUCUGGUGGCAUACAUACUAAAAUUGUAAUGGUACAGAGAAGAUCAGCAUGGCCUCUGCACAAGGAUGACAGGCAGAUGUGUGAUGCGUUACUAUUUUUA